RNAcentral lists this ribosomal RNA (411 nucleotides) under uncultured bacterium. Its description in RNAcentral is "bacterial SSU rRNA". It matches the Rfam family "Bacterial small subunit ribosomal RNA", at positions 109 to 518 of the family's 1533-position model. The record is from RNAcentral.
AGUAAUACGUAAGCAACCUGCCUACACGGACUGGGAUAACACCUGGAAACGGGACGCUAAUACCGGAUAGGUAACGAGAGGGCAUCUCUGUUAUAAAGGUUUGAAACACAAGUAGAUGGGCUUACGGUGCAUUAGCUAGUUGGUGAGGUAACGGCCCACCAAGGCGAUGAUGCAUAGCCGGCCUGAGAGGGUGAACGGCCACAUUGGGACUGAGACACGGCCCAGACUCCUACGGGAGGCAGCAGUAGGGAAUUUUCGGCAAUGGGCGCAAGCCUGACCGAGCAACGCCGCGUGAGUGAUGAAGGUUUUCGGAUCGUAAAGCUCUGUUGUAAGGGAAGAAUGGCGCGGAUAGACUCCGCGAUUGACGGUACCUUACCAGAAAGCCACGGCUAACUACGUGCCAGCAGCUGC